Molecule: ribosomal RNA, 553 nt
Filed under: Salmonella enterica subsp. enterica serovar Typhimurium
Lineage: Bacteria; Pseudomonadati; Pseudomonadota; Gammaproteobacteria; Enterobacterales; Enterobacteriaceae
Description: bacterial LSU rRNA
Rfam family: Bacterial large subunit ribosomal RNA
Source: RNAcentral
GCACCGAAGCUGCGGCAGCGACGCUGAUGCGUUGUUGGGUAGGGGAGCGUUCUGUAAGCCUGUGAAGGUGUGUCGUGAGGCAUGCUGGAGGUAUCAGAAGUGCGAAUGCUGACAUAAGUAACGAUAAAGCGGGUGAAAAGCCCGCUCGCCGGAAGACCAAGGGUUCCUGUCCAACGUUAAUCGGGGCAGGGUGAGUCGACCCCUAAGGCGAGGCCGAAAGGCGUAGUCGAUGGGAAACGGGUUAAUAUUCCCGUACUUGGUGUUACUGCGAAGGGGGGACGGAGAAGGCUAUGUUGGCCGGGCGACGGUUGUCCCGGUUUAAGCGUGUAGGUGUGUGUUCCAGGUAAAUCCGGUUCACUUUAACACUGAGGCGUGACGACGAGGCACUACGGUGCUGAAGCAACAAAUGCCCUGCUUCCAGGAAAAGCCUCUAAGCAUCAGGUAACACGAAAUCGUACCCCAAACCGACACAGGUGGUCAGGUAGAGAAUACCAAGGCGCUUGAGAGAACUCGGGUGAAGGAACUAGGCAAAAUGGUGCCGUAACUUCGGGAG